Molecule: ribosomal RNA, 253 nt
Filed under: uncultured bacterium
Lineage: Bacteria
Description: partial 16S ribosomal RNA
Rfam family: Bacterial small subunit ribosomal RNA
Source: RNAcentral
UACGGGGGGGGCAAGCGUUGUUCGGAAUUACUGGGCGUAAAGGGCGCGUAGGCGGCCUGUUAAGUCGAACGUGAAAUCCCCGGGCUCAACCCGGGAACUGCGUCCGAUACUGGCAGGCUUGAAUCCGGGAGAGGGAUGCGGAAUUCCAGGUGUAGCGGUGAAAUGCGUAGAUAUCUGGAGGAACACCGGUGGCGAAGGCGGCAUCCUGGACCGGUAUUGACGCUGAGGUGCGAAAGCCAGGGGAGCAAACGGG